This 366-nucleotide small RNA is filed under the name Histoplasma ohiense. Its description in RNAcentral is "hypothetical lncRNA". Lineage: Eukaryota; Fungi; Ascomycota; Eurotiomycetes; Onygenales; Ajellomycetaceae. The record is from RNAcentral.
AGGGUAGGUGGGUUUUGAUUGAAGAUCUGGAUCGUGCGCCCUCUGAAGUUAUUGGCCUUAUCCUCCCGCUUAUUGAGAAAAGGGAACUUAUAAUACCAAGCAGAAAAGAACGCAUCCGUUGCGCUGAUAGCUUCAGGGUUAUUGCCACCAUGCGGUCUACUAUCAAUGCGGCUGGGAAAGAAAUAACCCCAGGAACUAAUAUGUUGGGAAGUAGACUCUGGAAUCACAUUCAAGUGGCCUCGAUGCCCCUGUCAGAAGUCAAAGAGGUUAUUAUUCAGAGGUUUCCGCUACUUUCCCCCCGAGUAGAUACAAUCGUGACUACGUUCGAUCGCAUCACAUCGCUAUUUAACGGCACACUGUCUCGCA